AUCGAGCACAUAGAACAUAGAGUUCCGUAUACCCACAGCACCCUCUGCACCUUAUUACCAGCUGUAGUCCAUGGUCUACAUUGAGGUUCACUCUGUGUUAUGCCGUUCUGUGGAUUUUGACAAAUGCGAUCACCAAUCGAUACAAUCAUCUCCUAUCCUGAGGAGGAAGGAUAUCUGUCGCUCAUAAAUACAAGUUUAUAUUUAACAGUAAACAGGAGUUGAUGUUGAAAGGAUUGAGGGUUUGUGAACAAAUAUCUGAUGCAAAAUGAGGAUACUUGGGGAAUCUUGACAAAGUCAAUAUGGGCCACAGGACAAACUCAUAUACAUCG
This is a long non-coding RNA of Nyctereutes procyonoides (raccoon dog), 329 nucleotides long. RefSeq lists it as uncharacterized. Lineage: Eukaryota; Metazoa; Chordata; Mammalia; Carnivora; Canidae. The record is from RefSeq and is a predicted model, not a curated record. The transcript has 3 exons.